CUCGGCAAUGGAUAUCUCGGCUCUCGCAUCGAUGAAGAGCGCAGCGAAAUGCGAUACGUGGUGCGAAUUGCAGAAUCCCGCGAACCAU
This 88-nucleotide ribosomal RNA is filed under the name Masdevallia caloptera. RNAcentral's name for it is "5.8S ribosomal RNA". It matches the Rfam family "5.8S ribosomal RNA", at positions 5 to 92 of the family's 154-position model. Rfam says of the family: 5.8S ribosomal RNA (5.8S rRNA) is a component of the large subunit of the eukaryotic ribosome. It is transcribed by RNA polymerase I as part of the 45S precursor that also contains 18S and 28S rRNA. RNAcentral also lists the same sequence under 12 other names. Lineage: Eukaryota; Viridiplantae; Streptophyta; Magnoliopsida; Asparagales; Orchidaceae. The record is from RNAcentral.